UAAAUUCUUCUACUCCAACUUAUUUUUUUAUAAUCUCAUAUGCAACAAUCUUUUUACAAAUAUUUUUCAACUAUAAUUUAUUAUUUCCAUCAUAUAUCAUUUAAGUUUAUUUUUCUUCGAUUUUCUCUCUCUAAAAAAAUAUUUUCUCUUUCUAGCAAAAAAAUUCUCUCUCUAGCUUAUAAGCUCAAUUAUCCAAACAUUUUAAAAACUUAUAAGCUCUUAAAAAUUACAUCUUAUAAGCUCUUGAAACAUCUUAUAAGCUUCAAAAGCUUAUAAGCUCUUUAAAAUAAGCUUAGCCAAACACCCUCUAAG
RNAcentral lists this long non-coding RNA (312 nucleotides) under Salvia miltiorrhiza (redroot sage). RNAcentral's name for it is "long non-coding RNA (SMIL_LNC010233)". Lineage: Eukaryota; Viridiplantae; Streptophyta; Magnoliopsida; Lamiales; Lamiaceae. The record is from RNAcentral.